CAAGGCUUAACUUUACCAACGAAGGACGCCCAGUAUACGCCAGCGACACAACAAAUGACUUUCUCUACUGCUUCGGUGAUGGCUCGUCACUAUGUCACUGGUUCAUAGGACCAAAAGUCGGCAGUAUUCUUAUUGCGCUCUUUGCAUCUGAUAGCAAUCUUGUUGCCGAGCAAAUCACGUCAACUUGGCAUAUCUAUAAUGGUCACUACUUUCAACCAGCACCUGAGGUCAAGAUCACAUGCUCCUACACAUCAAUUUUUUGUCCAGGAACUACAUCGUCGAGAAUCUCGACUAUGCGAAAUUCAACACCCGCAACAGCUGUCUCCCCGAUAGCUACAUCGCCGUCCUUCUCAAUCACGCCACCAUGCGAUGAAAUAGAAAAACACAAGCUCGAGACUGACUUGGAUAACCAACGUUAUAUCCUUUUUGGGGUUAGUGGCUUUGCUGGGCUGUUGCUUGUGAUAACCCUAGGGCUAGUUGUGAAAUUGGUAUCAAUGCGUCGCCGUAUGAAGGACAUGUCAACAGCGCACCUAACGACACCGGCCUUCACUGCACAUCAAUACAACUUCUUACCAGGGACGAAGGACUAUGCUUACGCCGAAGGGAAUGGUACGAACGUCGAGGUAGACUCGCCACCUCCACCGCCUGUUGCGAACCGUCCCCCGUUAUGGAAUACAGGGGAUGGGAGUCGGAUAGUGCAACCAACGGACUGUUGUCAAGAGGCACCCAAGAAGAUGCGCUACUCGAUGCGUGCAGAGCUACAAAGUCAAGGCGAAAUUGAAGGACGACCAGAUGGAGAUGACAAUGUCUACCGGGAGUUGAAGUAAGUUUAAGAUAUUGAGACAUUUGGCAUC
Long non-coding RNA from Branchiostoma floridae (Florida lancelet), 854 nucleotides. RefSeq lists it as uncharacterized. The transcript is spliced from 3 exons. NCBI's taxonomy places the organism in Eukaryota, Metazoa, Chordata, Leptocardii, Amphioxiformes, Branchiostomatidae. The record is from RefSeq and is a predicted model, not a curated record.